Long non-coding RNA from Haemorhous mexicanus (house finch), 238 nucleotides. RefSeq lists it as uncharacterized. The transcript is spliced from 2 exons. The record is from RefSeq and is a predicted model, not a curated record. NCBI's taxonomy places the organism in Eukaryota, Metazoa, Chordata, Aves, Passeriformes, Fringillidae.
GGUAGAUCGGAAGAUGUAUUAUCUAGAAAAUGUACUAAACCUUAUCUAUGGAAUGCACCUUUUGGCUGAGUAACGGAUGUCAGGGUGUACCUAAUAAAUCUCUGUAUGCUAUCUCUAAAAGUGUGCAGGGAGAUGUUGGAUAUAUAAACCCUGUAAAUUCUGUGGCAAAUUGGGGCUCUGACUUUGGACAAUAGUCCUCAGGUCCCCAGGGCCCUCAAUAAAGCACCGCAUAAAACAA